CGACAGUGCGAUAGGGGGACUCCGAGUGUGAGGGCAUAUAGUCCUCGCUUUUCUGUACCGUAAGGUGGUACAGGAACAAGGACUGGGCAAGACCGGUGCCAGCCGCCGCGGUAAUACCGGCAGUCCAAGUGAUGGCCGAUAUUAUUGGGCCUAAAGCGUCCGUAGCUUGCUGUGUAAGUCCAUUGGGAAAUCGACCAGCUCAACUGGUCGGCGUCCGGUGGAAACUACACAGCUUGGGGCCGAGAGACUCAACGGGUACGUCCGGGGUAGGAGUGAAAUCCUGUAAUCCUGGACGGACCACCAAUGGGGAAACCACGUUGAGAGACCGGACCCGACAGUGAGGGACGAAAGCCAGGGUCUCGAACCGGAUUAGAUACCCGGG
Molecule: ribosomal RNA, 382 nt
Filed under: uncultured archaeon
Lineage: Archaea
Description: bacterial SSU rRNA
Rfam family: Archaeal small subunit ribosomal RNA
Source: RNAcentral